UCACUCUAGCGAGACUGCCGGUAAUAAACCGGAGGAAGGUGGGGAUGACGUCAAAUCAUCAUGCCCCUUAUGACCUGGGCUACACACGUGCUACAAUGGCUGGUACAACGAGUCGCAAGCCGGUGACGGCAAGCUAAUCUCUUAAAGCCAGUCUCAGUUCGGAUUGUAGGCUGCAACUCGCCUACAUGAAGUCGGAAUCGCUAGUAAUCGCGGAUCAGCACGCCGCGGUGAAUACGUUCCCGGGCCUUGUACACACCGCCCGUCACACCACGAGAGUUUGUAACACCCGAAGUCGGUGAGGUAACCUUUAUAGGAGCCAACCGCCUAAGGUGGGAUAGAUGAUUGGGGUGAAGUCGUAACAAGGUAACCGUAA
RNAcentral lists this ribosomal RNA (373 nucleotides) under uncultured bacterium. RNAcentral describes it as "bacterial SSU rRNA". It matches the Rfam family "Bacterial small subunit ribosomal RNA", at positions 1135 to 1505 of the family's 1533-position model. The record is from RNAcentral.